GUUUGAAAGCGCCCUCCAAGCCUGUGCCAGCAGAGGCGGUAAGACAGGCGACGCAAGUAUAAAGCAUCUUGACUAGGCGUACAGCGCGUCUAAGCGUAGUGGUGAUCCAAACCAGCUAUAAAUAUAAAAAUUUAUGUUGGCUGUUUAAACGCCGGGUAAUACUAGGAGUAUCGGUCAAAUGAGAAAAUCCCUGGUGGAAAGCCGAUGGUGAAGGCACCGGCAUAGGGAACACUGAAGCAACAACGCGUAAGCUUGGGUAGCGAACCGGAUUAGAGACCCGCAGUAGUCCAAACUGUAAACAAUUUCUAACUAUGUUAGAACGCCUGGUGAUACGGCGGCUACGCUAUAAAUUAAAGUACUUGGCAGCGAUAGGGAUUGCGCGGUGGAACAUGCUGUUUAAUUCGUAUCUACGCGUAAAACCUUACCACAUUUAAAUAUAU
This 440-nucleotide ribosomal RNA is filed under the name Gonium pectorale. Its description in RNAcentral is "SSU rRNA". It matches the Rfam family "Bacterial small subunit ribosomal RNA", at positions 482 to 989 of the family's 1533-position model. The record is from RNAcentral. Lineage: Eukaryota; Viridiplantae; Chlorophyta; Chlorophyceae; Chlamydomonadales; Volvocaceae.